AAAAUGCAUUCAGGCAAUCAGAAUCAAAUCUCCAUUACUCAUUCACAACCUAAUAGUAUUGACAACUCAUCCAAACCCACGCCUUAUCUUGAAAUACCUUUGCAAUCGUCGAUCGGCCGCUAGAUCCGGCAAUUUCGUUCGGGGAAAUCGUGGAAAUGGUUGAAGCUGUUGCAUCAGUGGCUCUUGAAACCCUUCGUGACCUGUUGAUCGAGUAAGUGAAAGUUUUAUCUGGGGUCGGCGAUCAAGUUGACGAUGUCCGUAGGCAGCUCAACACCGUGCACUGUUUCUUGAAGGAUGCUAGUAAAAGACAAGAUACGGACAACUCCGAAACAAUCCGAAAUUGGCUUAGUGAGCUUCGAGAUCUGGCCACUGAGGCUGAGAUUAUAUUGGAAAGGUAUGCGGUUGAGGAUUGGAAUAGCCUGAGCCACGCCUUUCCCAUUGGAGAGUCGGGCAGCAGAAUUUUGCUCACUACCAGAAAUCAAAACACUGCUUCCACAGGAUACGUUCACAAGCUCAAGUGCUUGAGUGAAGACGAAGGAUGGGAGCUACUUCAAAAGAUAGCACUCCCAAACAACUAUUCACAAGAAGCUUCGAGUAUUGGACGGAAUAAUUUCUGAUGAAGAAAGUCUAUCAAUGAUUGUUGAUCACAUCUUAAAUCAUCAAGACCAAUUUCGUGACAUAAAACUUGAUAUUCAAGAAAUGUGCAAUGUGAAUGA
Non-coding RNA from Sesamum indicum (sesame), 716 nucleotides. The record is from RefSeq and is a predicted model, not a curated record. Lineage: Eukaryota; Viridiplantae; Streptophyta; Magnoliopsida; Lamiales; Pedaliaceae.